CGUGAGGGAAAGGUGAAAAGCACCCCGGAAGGGGAGUGAAAUAGAACCUGAAACCGUGUGCUUACAAGUAGUCAGAGCCCGUUAAUGGGUGAUGGCGUGCCUUUUGUAGAAUGAACCGGCGAGUUACGAUUUGAUGCAAGGUUAAGCAGUAAAUGUGGAGCCGUAGCGAAAGCGAGUCUGAAUAGGGCGUUUAGUAUUUGGUCGUAGACCCGAAACCAGGUGAUCUACCCUUGGUCAGGUUGAAGUUCAGGUAACACUGAAUGGAGGACCGAACCGACUUACGUUGAAAAGUGAGCGGAUGAACUGAGGGUAGCGGAGAAAUUCCAAUCGAACCUGGAGAUAGCUGGUUCUCUCCGAAAUAGCUUUAGGGCUAGCCUCAAGUGAUGAUUAUUGGAGGUAGAGCACUGUUUGGACGAGGGGCCCCUCUCGGGUUACCGAAUUCAGACAAACUCCGAAUGCCAAUUAAUUUAACUUGGGAGUCAGAACAUGGGUGAUAAGGUCCGUGUUCGAAAGGGAAACAGCCCAGACCACCAGCUAAGGUCCCAAAAUAUAUGUUAAGUGGAAAAGGAUGUGGCGUUGCCCAGACAACUAGGAUGUUGGCUUAGAAGCAGCCAUCAUUUAAAGAGUGCGUAAUAGCUCACUAGUCGAGUGACACUGCGCCGAAAAUGUACCGGGGCUAAACAUAUUACCGAAGCUGUGGAUUGUCCUUUGGACAAUGGUAGGAGAGCGUUCUAAGGGCGUUGAAGCAUGAUCGUAAGGACAUGUGGAGCGCUUAGAAGUGAGAAUGCCGGUGUGAGUAGCGAAAGACGGGUGAGAAUCCCGUCCACCGAUUGACUAAGGUUUCCAGAGGAAGGCUCGUCCGCUCUGGGUUAGUCGGGUCCUAAGCUGAGGCCGACAGGCGUAGGCGAUGGAUAACAGGUUGAUAUUCCUGUACCACCUAUAAUCGUUUUAAUCGAUGGGGGGACGCAGUAGGAUAGGCGAAGCGUGCGAUUGGAUUGCACGUCUAAGCAGUAAGGCUGAGUAUUAGGCAAAUCCGGUACUCGUUAAGGCUGAGCUGUGAUGGGGAGAAGACAUUGUGUCUUCGAGUCGUUGAUUUCACACUGCCGAGAAAAGCCUCUAGAUAGAAAAUAGGUGCCCGUACCGCAAACCGACACAGGUAGUCAAGAUGAGAAUUCUAAGGUGAGCGAGCGAACUCUCGUUAAGGAACUCGGCAAAAUGACCCCGUAACUUCGGGAGAAGGGGUGCUCUUUAGGGUUAACGCCCAGAAGAGCCGCAGUGAAUAGGCCCAAGCGACUGUUUAUCAAAAACACAGGUCUCUGCUAAACCGUAAGGUGAUGUAUAGGGGCUGACGCCUGCCCGGUGCUGGAAGGUUAAGAGGAGUGGUUAGCUUCUGCGAAGCUACGAAUCGAAGCCCCAGUAAACGGCGGCCGUAACUAUAA
This 1439-nucleotide ribosomal RNA is filed under the name Staphylococcus aureus. Its description in RNAcentral is "bacterial LSU rRNA". It matches the Rfam family "Bacterial large subunit ribosomal RNA", at positions 502 to 1945 of the family's 2925-position model. Lineage: Bacteria; Bacillati; Bacillota; Bacilli; Caryophanales; Staphylococcaceae. The record is from RNAcentral.